UGUACAUAGAUACAACAUGGCCAGCACUACC
This 31-nucleotide non-coding RNA is filed under the name Mus musculus (house mouse). Lineage: Eukaryota; Metazoa; Chordata; Mammalia; Rodentia; Muridae. The record is from RNAcentral.